This is a non-coding RNA of Carica papaya (papaya), 1754 nucleotides long. The record is from RefSeq and is a predicted model, not a curated record. NCBI's taxonomy places the organism in Eukaryota, Viridiplantae, Streptophyta, Magnoliopsida, Brassicales, Caricaceae.
UCGACGGUAGAUGAUGAAUUAGGGAUUGGGUUUUGAAGCUCUGGUGGACCAAGAAGAGUAGGAGAAGCCAUCGUUGUAACUUGUCUUGAAACUUUUGCAGGUUGCUUGGCUACUUGAUGUUUCAAGAGUUGUGAGGUUGAAGACGAAGAUGCUGGAAUUUUAUAGUGAUUUGAUUCCUUGAUCACUAAGUUUACGCCUUGCGAACCACGUUUUGAUUUUUUUAAUCGUUGACUGACGAUUAUAUGUAUGUUAGUUUGGCCAUUGUUGCAGGUGAUUGAAUUUUAUAACAGCAACGAAACUGCAGAUGAAGAAACAUAAAGCUAUAAAUAAAUCCCAAAUCUGGUAAAAGGUUUCUCCCUCCCACCUCUUGGAGCUCAUAGCAACCUUCUCUCCUCGGCUUCUCACUUUGCGAGUUCCCCUCUCGGCCUCUCUCUGCUUGGAUUUCCCCCUACUUUCACAGCUUCGGGCUCUGCAGAGGAGGGAGACAAUUUUGAUCAAUACUUGGCGCUAGAAAUCCUCUGAGAAUCAUCUUCUUAUCCACUUUUCUUCUUUCCUUCUUCUUCCACUUUCGUGCGCCACCGUCAGAUUUCAUCUUCCCGUUUUCGGAAAACUAAACUAUUUCAUUUAUAUCUAAUGUAGAAUUAGCUAUAUAUCUGAGAAUACUUGUGUUAUCAUGUAUUAAUUAUAUUAAAUUUAUAUAUCUAUAUUUUAUAAAACUAUUUUAUUAUGUUGAAAGAUAUUUAAUUUAGAUAAUAUAAAAUUUUCAUAAAAAAGUUGAUCUACUUCAAAUAAAAAAUCUCAUUGUGUUUUUAUAGUAUAUACUGUAUAUUUUUUGUAUCUUUUUCAGCAGAAAUAUGGACAUGAGAUGGAGUUCAUCAUAAUAGACCAUAAGAUAGAACGAAAGAGCAGGAAGGUUGUCCAUAUUUUUUUAUGUAGUCAAGUAUCUGCAGCCAACAAGAGUUGGGAAAGGAUUGCAGACUAGCUAAAAUUUGAGAAGCAUGUUGGAGAGUAUACAAACUCUUUGCUAUGGACAUGAGGUGCAGUUCAUCAUAGACCACAAGAUAGAAGGCAAGAGCAAGAAUGUUGUCUAUAUUUUCUAUGUAGUCAAGCAAAAGGGAUUAUCUGCAGCCAACAACAGCUAGGAGAGGGCUACAGACUUGCGGAAAUUUGAGAAGCAUCUUAGAAAACACAAAGACUCUUUUCUCUGAGGGCACCGACUUUUUCUAGUGGCGGUAAUUUGUCAGACCCCUGAUCUUUGAUAGUUACGGUGUAUACCUAGCUAUUCUUAGUAGCUUGCAAGAUAGCAACGUAUUGCAAGCAAUGCUGAGGGUGCAGAGCUCACGGGUAAUGAACAGGCGCAUUGAAGGAUAUUGCAGCAACAGCAUGUUAUGUAUUGUGAGCACUCCGUAAGCAGGAAGUAUGAGCGGGCACGUCUUGAGUUGCUGAGACAAGCAGGCACACUGAGCAAUGGCGGACACUGAAGGGUGUGUAGCAUCCGGUGGUAACAGAUGAGUGUCUCAUGUGUCUGGAACAUGGCCAAAAACGCACAUGAGGAACAAGACCAGCAAUGCGGAGACACUUGUAGCGCACAGCACGCGGAGAGCUGCAUGCAUUUACUAGUUGUCCAAGGUGGGCGCAGGAGUUCAAUGCAUCCCAUAUGACUUGAAUGUCUAUAGAACUCUAGAUUUAGUUAAAGAUAAUAUUUUAUAUGUGAAUCCGUUUAAUAUGAUUUAUCAGAAGUUAAUUUAAUAUAA